CGACCGGCGCACGGGUGAGUAACGCGUGGGUAACCUGCCCUUAAGAGGUGAAUAACAACGAGAAAUCGGUGCUAAUACACCAUAUGCUUUACGAAGUCGCAUGACUUUGUGAGGAAAGAAUUUUCGCUUAAGGAUGGACCCGCGUUUGAUUUAGCCAGUUGGCAGGGUAACGGCCUACCAAAGCAACGAUCAAUAGCCGGCCUGAGAGGGUGAACGGCCACAUUGGAACUGAGACACGGUCCAAACUCCUACGGGAGGCAGCAGUGGGGAGUAUUGCACAAUGGGCGCAAGCCUGAUGCAGCAACGCCGCGUGAGUGAAGAAGUAUUUCGGUAUGUAAAGCUCUAUCGAUGGGGAAUAAAAUGAAGGUACCCAAGUAAGAAGCCCGGCUAACUACGUGCC
Molecule: ribosomal RNA, 400 nt
Filed under: uncultured bacterium
Lineage: Bacteria
Description: bacterial SSU rRNA
Rfam family: Bacterial small subunit ribosomal RNA
Source: RNAcentral